AUCUAGCCCUGAUAGAAGCGGCAUCCUUUUUUGAGGCACGAAAAAAAGAUACAGCGAAUAGCAGGAAAUAGC
RNAcentral lists this small RNA (72 nucleotides) under Algibacter luteus. RNAcentral describes it as "Arenitalea lutea Flavo-1 RNA". It matches the Rfam family "Flavo-1 RNA". The record is from Rfam by way of RNAcentral. Lineage: Bacteria; Pseudomonadati; Bacteroidota; Flavobacteriia; Flavobacteriales; Flavobacteriaceae.